This 73-nucleotide transfer RNA is filed under the name Stegodyphus mimosarum. It matches the Rfam family "tRNA". Rfam says of the family: Transfer RNA (tRNA) molecules are approximately 80 nucleotides in length. Their secondary structure includes four short double-helical elements and three loops (D, anti-codon, and T loops). Lineage: Eukaryota; Metazoa; Arthropoda; Arachnida; Araneae; Eresidae. The record is from Rfam by way of RNAcentral.
GCCUUCGUGGUGUAGUGGUCAGCACGCUUGGCGCGUAUUCGAGAGGUCCGUGGUUCGAAUUCCGGCGAAGGCA